This 450-nucleotide ribosomal RNA is filed under the name uncultured bacterium. RNAcentral describes it as "bacterial SSU rRNA". It matches the Rfam family "Bacterial small subunit ribosomal RNA", at positions 354 to 796 of the family's 1533-position model. The record is from RNAcentral.
GUGGGGAAUUUUGGACAAUGGGCGCAAGCCUGAUCCAGCAAUGCCGCGUGCAGGAAGAAGGCCUUCGGGUUGUAAACUGCUUUUGUACGGAACGAAACGGUCCGGGUUAAUACCCUGGGCUAAUGACGGUACCGUAAGAAUAAGCACCGGCUAACUACGUGCCAGCAGCCGCGGUAAUACGUAGGGUGCAAGCGUUAAUCGGAAUUACUGGGCGUAAAGCGUGAGCAGGCGGUGCUGUAAGACAGGCGUGCAAGCCGCGGGCGCAACCUGGGAAUUGCGCUUGUGACUGCAGUGCUGGAGUACGGCAGAGGGGGAUGGAAUUCCGCGUGUAGCAGUGAAAUGCGUAGAUAUGCGGAGGAACACCGAUGGCGAAGGCAGUCCCCUGGGCCUGUACUGACGCUCAUGCACGAAAGCGUGGGGAGCAAACAGGAUUAGAAACCCGAGUAGUCC